UACGGGGGGGGCAAGCGUUGUUCGGAAUUACUGGGCGUAAAGGUCUCGUAGGCGGCCAACUAAGUCGGAUGUGAAAUCCCCAGGCUUAACCUGGGAACUGCAUCCGAUACUGGAUGGCUUGAAUUCGGGAGAGGGACGCGGAAUUCCAGGUGUAGCGGUGAAAUGCGUAGAUAUCUGGAGGAACACCGGUGGCGAAGGCGGCGUCCUGGACCAAUACUGACACUGAGGAGCGAAAGCCAGGGGAGCAAACGGG
RNAcentral lists this ribosomal RNA (253 nucleotides) under uncultured bacterium. RNAcentral describes it as "partial 16S ribosomal RNA". It matches the Rfam family "Bacterial small subunit ribosomal RNA", at positions 524 to 776 of the family's 1533-position model. The record is from RNAcentral.